This 77-nucleotide transfer RNA is filed under the name Oceanospirillaceae bacterium. RNAcentral describes it as "tRNA-Met". It matches the Rfam family "tRNA". Rfam says of the family: Transfer RNA (tRNA) molecules are approximately 80 nucleotides in length. Their secondary structure includes four short double-helical elements and three loops (D, anti-codon, and T loops). Further hydrogen bonds mediate the characteristic L-shaped molecular structure. tRNAs have two regions of fundamental functional importance: the anti-codon, which is responsible for specific mRNA codon recognition, and the 3' end, to which the tRNAs corresponding amino acid is attached (by aminoacyl-tRNA synthetases). tRNAs cope with the degeneracy of the genetic code in two manners: having more than one tRNA (with a specific anti-codon) for a particular amino acid; and 'wobble' base-pairing, i.e. permitting non-standard base-pairing at the 3rd anti-codon position. The record is from RNAcentral. RNAcentral also lists the same sequence under 2 other names. Lineage: Bacteria; Pseudomonadati; Pseudomonadota; Gammaproteobacteria; Oceanospirillales; Oceanospirillaceae.
UGCGGGAUGGAGCAGUCUGGUAGCUCGUCGGGCUCAUAACCCGAAGGUCGUUGGUUCAAAUCCGGCUCCCGCUACCA